GUCACACACACACAUGUAGACAGUCACACCCACACAGGCAGACAGUCACACACACACACCCAGUCACACACACACAGGCAGACAGACACAUACACACACACACAGGCAGUCACACACAGGCAGACAGUCUCACACACACACACACACAGGCAGUCACACACAGGCAGACAGUCACACACACAAACACAGACACACACAGGCAGACAGUCACACACACACACACAGGCAGACAGUCACACAGGCAGUCACACACAGGCAG
Pelobates cultripes (western spadefoot toad) is the source of this 259-nucleotide non-coding RNA. The record is from the annotation of a GenBank genome assembly. NCBI's taxonomy places the organism in Eukaryota, Metazoa, Chordata, Amphibia, Anura, Pelobatidae.